AAAUAAGUAGUCCUAAAAUCUCUAAUAUUUCCUAUAUCAAUAGGUGGUUAGGAGCUAUGAAUUAAAUUAAAUAAUAUUUUGAAUAUCCCUUGUAGAUGGUACUUGCUAGUUAACUUGUCAAGCAUUGCAUAAGAAACUUGCCUAAUCAAUGACAUAAUUCAUUAGAAAAUAAGUACUCCAAGGCUGUGUAUGUUGAGUGUGAGGGAUGGGUCAAUAUGCGAAAAGGUGACUUGAGACAAAUAAUUGUUGAUAUAAUAAAUAAACAAAUAUCGUACUAAAUAAUAUAGGGAAGUAUAGUAAAUUAACGUAUAUGCAAAUAAUAUUUAUUUACAUUUUUUUUAUUGGGGAUAUAUAUCUAUUUUUAAAUGCAAAGUUUUGUUACUAUUGUCCUGUGGUACUGGAUGAGUUUAAGGCUCUUAAAAGCACAAGGCACAGUCAAAGCAAUGCAUUACCCCAUCACUUAAAGCGCAAAGUGCAAAAAAGGGAAGCGCAAAAUUAUUGAAAGUAAACUAAUAAUGUAAUAUAUAAAGAAAAUACAAUCUUCUAUAUAACAUUUAAACUCUUAAGAAAUCAUCAAACGUCCAAAAGAUUUUUAGCUUUCAAAUUCAUAGCUAGAGAUCUUCACUAAAUUUUCCAUCAAAGUCCUCAACACUUUUACCCUCAUCUCCGAAAUAAGAUCAAUUUCCAUCAAAAUCUUCAUCUAAAUUAAUCUCACAUUUUUCAACAUUAGCCUUGAAGUUGAGGCUCUUUGCGCAUUGCCUUUUUAAGUGCAAAAAGCCCUUGCUUCGCUAAACACACUCUGCUUAGCAUAUAUGUAAAAACGCUUUCCUAUUUGUCAUUGUGCUUAAGCGAGCGCUUUUGACUACACUGGAUAGGUAAAAGGGGGAAAAAAUAAAGGGAACUAAAUAGGACAAAAAUCCACUUCUAUCAUGUUCAAUUAGUGCUCCGAAUUGCCUUGCCCAUUUUAGUCCAAUCAAUUUAACCAAACAUAAAGUAAAAGUAUCUGGAAGUCUUUCGCUGACUAAUCAACACUUCCUAAGAAAGAUCUAUAAUUUGCUGUAUAAGUUGUUUGUGUGUAUGUCUGUGUGUGUGUGU
This 1095-nucleotide unclassified non-coding RNA is filed under the name Hevea brasiliensis (rubber tree). The record is from RNAcentral. Lineage: Eukaryota; Viridiplantae; Streptophyta; Magnoliopsida; Malpighiales; Euphorbiaceae.